AUGCAGUGGCCUUCUGGCCCGUGGUGUCCCCAAGUGGUUCUGGAUGGCCCUGAGCUGCGCUGGGCCUUUUGGGUCUUAGGGCGGGGUGGGCUGGAGCCAGCAGGGUGCAGACGCAGGGCGUGUGCCCCACUCACCGGGGGCUCCUUCCCGAGACUUAAGCUUCUCUCUCUCCUCCCAGGUCUUGCCCUUCUUGCCGGCCACUUCGCCCCCAGCCGACGCCUGGAGCUUGAGGUGACUGAGCGCUCUCAGGCCAGCUCGGCCCUGGACCUGCUCGGCUCUGGACCUGCCCAUCUCUGUCAACGCACGAGGCCCCCGUGCCCCAGGUCAAGAAGUGGCGCCAAGGGGGGAGCUUCUGUCCGAGGCCAGCCUUCCUUCCGGCUGGACUUGGCCUGCACGAGCCACGGUCUGUGUCGCAGGGUGUCUGGAUGGAAGAGCAGCACUGGACCCCCUCUCCCUCUGCGCCGUGAGGACCCGCCGUUCCUGGCUCCCAGGCAGGUGCGCCUGCCCCCCUCCCAACCCCAGGCUCACCCUGCCCCCUUCUCUCCACCCGGCCGGGCGCCAGCCCUCGACCUGCUGCCAGCUGUCAACAUGCGACGCACACAGGUGAGUGUUACCCGGGGCAGGAAAGGCUGGAUGAGGAGAACCAGUGACAUCUGCUUCUCCCAGACGGGGCUGGGGGCACCGGGGGCUUGCGGUGACGGCCGGGGUGGCCCAGGGUGUGUGAGUGUACGUCUGUGUGCUAUUUCUCCCCCCGCCCCCGCCCCCCGCCUCUCCUGAUCCCAUGGGGCCCGGCCGGCCCGUGGGCUGGCCCUUUUCCGCAGGCCGUGGCCUCCCACUGGGGUCUGGGGUCGGCCCUGCAGGCUCCAGAGCUGAAGCCCUGGCCCAGGAGGGGUGGGCAGGUGCGGGGUGCAGGGCAGGACUGUCGGAGCCGAGUAGCGGCUCACACGUGGAUUCCAGCUCCAUGUCGGUUCUGGGGCCUGGCUGCUGUUCCCCCCAGGGAGCUGCGUGGACCCCACAUCUCAGGGAGGAAAUCCAGGCCCACAAGGGCGUAAGCAGAAGCACGGCGAGGAGGCCCGCCUGGCUUCGCAGCCAGCUCCACCUGCUGGGCGUCCUGCCCCGGGCCACCCCUGCCUGCUGGGCCCAUGGUCAGAACCCGUGUCCCUGCGGCCUGAGGCCAUUGGGGUCUUGGGGGCAAAGUCAGGAGUCAGGAGCCAGAGCAUGUGCUCAGGGCGCCUCCCCAGAGUCACUCAGACACACGGGGAGCCCUGGGCGGGGCGCCGGGUCCUUGGCUGCAGUGUCCUCCCCGUGACGAGGCCGAGCGGCCGCCCCUCCACAGACAGCCAGCAUGCUCCUGCCCGACCCCUCACCAUUACCGGGGCGGGGGUGGGCAGCAAAGGAAGACCCCUGGUCGCUUUCUCUUCAACCCCCGUCCUGGAGCCAGACUAGCUCUGCCCGGAGAGUCCUUGGGGACACCCUGGUGCUGUCCGCCAGGCGGCCAAGGCGUCCACGAGGAAUCGGGGGUACAGGACCCCAGACCCUCUCCUGCAGAGCUCCCUCUGGGCCCUGAGGACGGACAGGGCGCCCGUGACCACAGGCCAGCCAGGUCCGGGGCCAGGCUGUGCUGGGGCAUUCCUGGGCUCAUACCCAGGUCCGGGCGGAUGGCGCUGUGGGCUCUGAUGUCAUCACGGGCUGACGGCUCUGGCUUUAUCUCAUGCUCCCCGGGGUUGUUCAGGGAGCAGCCGCGGCCGUGUUUGUCAGGACCGGACACCAGAGCUCC
RNAcentral lists this long non-coding RNA (1777 nucleotides) under Sus scrofa (pig). RNAcentral's name for it is "lncRNA (ENSSSCG00015029033.1)". Lineage: Eukaryota; Metazoa; Chordata; Mammalia; Artiodactyla; Suidae. The record is from RNAcentral.